AUUGAACGCUGGCGGCAUGCUUUACACAUGCCAGUCGAACGGUAACAGGCCGCAAGGUGCUGACGAGUGGCGAACGGGUGAGUAAUGCAUCGGAACGUGCCCAGUCGUGGGGGAUAACUACUCGAAAGAGUAGCUAAUACCGCAUACGAUCUAUGGAUGAAAGCGGGGGACCGUAAGGCCUCGCGCGAUUGGAGCGGCCGAUGUCAGAUUAGGUAGUUGGUGGGGUAAAGGCUCACCAAGCCAACGAUCUGUAGCUGGUCUGAGAGGACGACCAGCCACACUGGGACUGAGACACGGCCCAGACUCCUACGGGAGGCAGCAGUGGGGAAUUUUGGACAAUGGGCGCAAGCCUGAUCCAGCAAUGCCGCGUGCAGGAAGAAGGCCUUCGGGUUGUAAACUGCGUUUGUACGGAACGAAACGGCUCUGGUUAAUACCCGGGGCUAAUGACGGUACCGUAAGAAUAAGCACCGGCUAACUACGUG
RNAcentral lists this ribosomal RNA (482 nucleotides) under uncultured bacterium. RNAcentral describes it as "partial 16S ribosomal RNA". It matches the Rfam family "Bacterial small subunit ribosomal RNA", at positions 30 to 507 of the family's 1533-position model. The record is from RNAcentral.